This 775-nucleotide ribosomal RNA is filed under the name uncultured Neocallimastigales. Its description in RNAcentral is "partial large subunit ribosomal RNA". It matches the Rfam family "Eukaryotic large subunit ribosomal RNA", at positions 22 to 644 of the family's 3401-position model. Lineage: Eukaryota; Fungi; Neocallimastigomycota; Neocallimastigomycetes; Neocallimastigales. The record is from RNAcentral.
GUACACGCUGUGACUAGCAUAUCAAUAAGCGGAGGAAAAGAAACUAACAAGGGAUUCCCCUAGUAACGGCGAGUGAAGCGGGAAGAGCUCAAAUUUGAAAUCUUAAAGGGUUUCCCUUUACGAAUUGUAGUUUAAAGAAGUGUUUUCUGUUGAGGUUUUGGUAAAAGUUCUUUGGAAUAGGACAUCAUAGAGGGUGAGAAUCCCGUAUUUGACCUUUACUUUCAACUUUGUGAUACACUUUCAAAGAGUCGGAUUGUUUGGGAAUGCAGUCCAAAAUGGGUGGUAAAUUUCAUCUAAAGCUAAAUAUUGGCGAGAGACCGAUAGCGAACAAGUACCGUGAGGGAAAGAUGAAAAGAACUUUGAAAAGAGAGUUAAACAGUACGUGAAAUUGUCAAAAGGGAAGCGUUUGACACCAGUGUUGUUUUUCUGAAAAUCAAUUAAAGAACUGUUUAUGCUAAGCUGUUUAGACUUUAUCAGCUAUCUGUUUAGUUUUGAGCUUUUCUUUAAUGCACUUUUCAGUUAAUAAGUCAACAUCAAUUUCUUUUGCUGUAAAAAAGCUUGAGGAAGGUGGCUUGAGAUUCGUCUUAAGUGUUUAUAGCCUCUUGCCUAUGCAGUCGGAGAGAUUGAGGUCUGCAGCGUAGAUCCUUCGGGGCUAAAUGCAUUUGUGCUAAGUUAUAGCAUUUUAUAGACAACUUGUUGACUAUGAUUUGUCUUGUAGCUUACUCGCUUAUGUUAUUUUACCUACGCUUAGGAUGUUGACUGAUAUGUAGUCGUA